CCAAUAGCGUAUAUUAAAGUUGUUGCAGUUAAAAAGCUCGUAGUUGAAUUUCGAAACCGGCUUACUGGUCGUGCUAUUGUGCGUACUGGUAUAAUCGGUUUCUCCUUUCUGACGAACUAUAAUGCCAUUAAUUUGGUGUUAUAGGGAAUCAGGACUGUUACUUUGAAAAAAUUAGAGUGUUUAAAGCAGGCUCACGCUUGAAUACAUUAGCAUGGAAUAACGGAAUAGGACGUUUGAUUCUAUUUUGUUGGUUUCUAGGAUCGACGUAAUGAUUAAUAGGGAUAGUUGGGGGCAUUAGUAUUCAAUUGUCAGAGGUGAAAUUCUUGGAUUUAUUGAAGACUAACUACUGCGAAAGCAUUUGCCAAGGAUGUUUUCAUUAAUCAAGAACGAAAGUUAGGGGAUCGAAGACGAUCAGAUACCGUCGUAGUCUUAACCAUAAACUAUGCCGACUAGGGAUCGGAUGAUGUUAAUUUUUUAAUGACUCAUUCGGCGCCUUACG
This 499-nucleotide ribosomal RNA is filed under the name uncultured Glomeromycotina. RNAcentral's name for it is "partial small subunit ribosomal RNA". It matches the Rfam family "Eukaryotic small subunit ribosomal RNA", at positions 591 to 1092 of the family's 1831-position model. Lineage: Eukaryota; Fungi; Glomeromycota. The record is from RNAcentral.